This 434-nucleotide ribosomal RNA is filed under the name uncultured Clostridium sp. RNAcentral describes it as "partial 16S ribosomal RNA". It matches the Rfam family "Bacterial small subunit ribosomal RNA", at positions 341 to 792 of the family's 1533-position model. Lineage: Bacteria; Bacillati; Bacillota; Clostridia; Eubacteriales; Clostridiaceae. RNAcentral also lists the same sequence under 1 other name. The record is from RNAcentral.
ACGGAAGGCAGCAGUGGGGAAUAUUGGACAAUGGGGGAAACCCUGAUCCAGCGACGCCGCGUGAGUGAAGAAGUAUUUCGGUAUGUAAAGCUCUAUCAGCAAGGAAGAAAAUGACGGUACCUGACUAAGAAGCCCCGGCUAACUACGUGCCAGCAGCCGCGGUAAUACGUAGGGGGCAAGCGUUAUCCGGAUUUACUGGGUGUAAAGGGAGCGCAGACGGCAAAGCAAGUCUGAAGUGAAAGCCCGGGGCUCAACCCCGGGACUGCUUUGGAAACUGUUUAGCUAGAGUACUGGAGAGGUAAGCGGAAUUCCUAGUGUAGCGGUGAAAUGCGUAGAUAUUAGGAAGAACACCAGUGGCGAAGGCGGCUUACUGGACAGCAACUGACGUUGAGGCUCGAAAGCGUGGGGAGCAAACAGGAUUAGAUACCCUGGUA